This 253-nucleotide ribosomal RNA is filed under the name uncultured bacterium. RNAcentral describes it as "partial 16S ribosomal RNA". It matches the Rfam family "Bacterial small subunit ribosomal RNA", at positions 524 to 776 of the family's 1533-position model. The record is from RNAcentral.
UACGAAGGGGGCUAGCGUUGCUCGGAAUCACUGGGCGUAAAGGGUGCGUAGGCGGGUCUUUAAGUCAGGGGGGAAAUCCUGGAGCUCAACUCCAGAACUGCCUUUGAUACUGAGGAUCUUGAGUUCGGGAGAGGUGAGUGGAACUGCGAGUGUAGAGGUGAAAUUCGUAGAUAUUCGCAAGAACACCAGUGGCGAAGGCGGCUCACUGGCCCGAUACUGAUGCUGAGGCACGAAAGCGUGGGGAGCAAACAGG